RNAcentral lists this ribosomal RNA (1436 nucleotides) under Tozeuma sp. BOLD:ACR8575. RNAcentral's name for it is "SSU rRNA". It matches the Rfam family "Eukaryotic small subunit ribosomal RNA", at positions 426 to 1804 of the family's 1831-position model. The record is from RNAcentral. Lineage: Eukaryota; Metazoa; Arthropoda; Malacostraca; Decapoda; Hippolytidae.
CAGCAGGCACGCAAAUUACCCAAUCCCAGCUCGGGGAGGUAGUGACGAAAAAUAACAAUACGGUACUCUAACGAGUGUGCGUAAUUGGAAUGAGAACACACUAAAUCUUUUAUCAAACUUCAAUUGGAGGGCAAGUCUGGUGCCAGCAGCCGCGGUAAUUCCAGCUCCAAUAGCAUAUACUAAAGUUGUUGCGGUUAAAAAGCUCCUAGUUUGAGCUUGCUUCGGACCGGCCGUGUGGGUCACCGCCUGGUGCCUGCUUCGGCCGGCUCCGGACUGUUUCUGUUGACUAGAAUGGCUCCGGCUGUGUGCGGUGCUCUUAACCGAGUGUCGCGUGUGGCCGGGCAGUUUACCUUGAACAAAUGAGAGUGCUCAAAGCAGGCUACUCUUAAGCAUGAAGCCCGAAUGUUACCUGCAUGGAAUAAUGGAAGAUGAUCUCGGUCCCAUGUUUGUUGGGCUCUUGGGACCCGAGUUAAUGAUAAACAGGGACUGUCGGGGGCAUCCGUACUACGACGCGAGAGGUGAAAUUCUGUGACCGUCGUAGGACGAACAACAGCGAAAGCAUUUGCCAAGAAUGUCUUCGUUGAUCAAGAACGAAAGUUAGAGGAUCGAAGGCGAUCAGAUACCGCCCUAGUUCUAACCCUAAACGAUGCUGACUAGCAAUUCGCCGUCGUUAUUCCCAUGACGUGGCGAGACGCCCCCGGGAAACCUCAAGUUUUUGAGUUCCGGGGGUAGUAUGGUCGCAAAACUGAAACUUAAAGGAAUUGACGGAAGGGCACCACCAGGAGUGGAGGCCUGCGGCUUAAUUUGACUCAACACGGGAAACCUCACCAGGCCCGGACACCAGAAGGAUUGACAGAUUAAGAGCUCUUUCUCGAUUUGGUGGAUGGUGGUGCAUGGCCGUUCUUAGUUGGUGGAGUGAUUUGUCUGGUUAAUUCCGGUAACGAACGAGACUCUGGCCUAUUAAAUAGUCGACGGGGAAGGGUAUUGUCGCAAUUUCCCCGUUCGACAGGUUCUUCUUAGAGGGAUGAGCAGCGAGUCUAGCUGCAGGAGAUUGAGCAAUAACAGGUCUGUGAUGCCCUGAGAUGUGCUGGGCCGCACGCGCGCUACACUGAAUGGGUCAGCGGGUGUUCCUUCUCCGAGAGGAGCGGGAAAUCUGUUGAACUCCAUUCGUGAUAGGGAUUGGGGCUUGCAAUUGUUUCCCAUGAACGAGGAAUUCCCAGUAAGCGCAAUUCAUCAUAUUGCGUUGAUUAAGUCCCUGCCCUUUGUACACACCGCCCGUCGCUACUACCGAUUGAAUGAUUUAGUGAGGCCUUCGGACUGGCGGUCCUGGAUUGGGUUCCAUUGGCUGCUGUUGCAGCCGUGGAGCCGCCGGGACUUGACGGAAAGAUGGCCAAACUUGAUCAUUUAGAGGAAGUAAAAGUCGUAACAAGGUUUCC